Molecule: long non-coding RNA, 474 nt
Organism: Homo sapiens (human)
Lineage: Eukaryota; Metazoa; Chordata; Mammalia; Primates; Hominidae
Exons: 4
Source: RefSeq, a predicted model, not a curated record
GGCCUCAUCCACAUGAUGCGCAGGUAUGGGUCUAGCUCCUGCAUGAGCUCAACAUCUGGGCCUGUCUGAGCUGCACAGCUGAAGAAAGAGACAAGAUGUCUAUAGCCUCACCCACUUGAGGAAUCAGGCAUGGCUGAGAAAGACAUUCGAGUUGUGCAGGUGGUGAUGAUUUGUGCUUUAGAGGAUGGAGGAGGCCUGCAGGGAAGGCGGAGCUGCGGGGAACACUCUCUAGGAGGGAGAGUAACAUGCCUACAAACACCUGGGAAGGGAGUACUUUUAGGAUCAACACUUGUGGACGGGAGAAGAUGGAAGCAGGACUGGGUAGAAGAAGAAGCUGGGCUGCAAUGAAGUCCCAUUGAAGACCUCAGCUGACCUUGCAUGGAGCCUGCAUCCCAUCCAGGAUACCUGUUACAUUUACUUGUCAUAUCUCCUCAAGCUUCUCUUGGCUAUGACAGUUUUUUAGACUUUCCUUGA